UACGUAGGCAGCGAGCGUUGUUCGGAGUUACUGGGCGUAAAGGGUGUGCAGGCGGUUGUUUAAGUUUGGUGUGAAAUCUCCCGGCUCAACUGGGAGGGUGCGCCGAAUACUGAAUGACUUGGAGUGCGGGAGAGGAGAGUGGAAUUCCUGGUGUAGCGGUGAAAUGCGUAGAUAUCAGGAGGAACACCUAUUGCGAAGGCAGCUCGCUGGGACGUAACUGACGCUGAGACGCGAAAGCGUGGGGAGCAAACAGG
Molecule: ribosomal RNA, 254 nt
Filed under: uncultured bacterium
Lineage: Bacteria
Description: partial 16S ribosomal RNA
Rfam family: Bacterial small subunit ribosomal RNA
Source: RNAcentral